AGGAUGAACGCUGGCGGCGUGCCUAAUACAUGCAAGUCGAGCGGUAAGGCCCCUUCGGGGGUACACGAGCGGCGGACGGCUGAGUAACACGUAGGAACGUACCCCAAAGUGAGGGAUAAGCACCAGAAAUGGUGUCUAAUACCGCAUGUGCUCUUCGGAGGAAAGCUUCGGCGCUUUGGGAACGGCCUGCGCAUGAUUAGCUUGUUGGUGAGGUAAUGGCUCACCAAGGCGACGAUCAUUAGCUGGUCUGAGAGGAUGAUCAGCCAGACUGGGACUGAGAACGGCCCAGACUCCUACGGGAGGCAGCAGUAGGGAAUUUUCCACAAUGGGCGAAAGCCUGAUGAGCAACGCCGCGUGCAGGAUGAAUGCCUUCGGGUUGUAAACUGCUUUUAUAUGUGACGAAUAUGACGGUAGCAUAUGAAUAAGGAUCGGCUAACUCCGUGCCAGCAGCCGCGGU
RNAcentral lists this ribosomal RNA (457 nucleotides) under uncultured bacterium. Its description in RNAcentral is "SSU rRNA". It matches the Rfam family "Bacterial small subunit ribosomal RNA", at positions 26 to 521 of the family's 1533-position model. The record is from RNAcentral.